UAUGUAUGUAUGUAUGAAUAUAUGUAUAGUGCUAGUAGGUUUGGUAAUGGUAUGAUUUGUUUCAAUAUCGUUCACGUCAACACAAAAUCAAGUAUGAUGCUCCGACAGUCUAUAUCCACGCAGUCACUAUUCGUCACUCACUACUCUCGUCAUAACGGUUCCAACGCUCUUUUUCACCCUGACCGUCCUUGACAACGCUGACAACACUUACCCCUCAACUGCCUAACAGCUACCUCUUAUACUAUGGCUCCGGUAUACUCGGCACGUCCAUGUUCCACAGACGUGGAUGACCCAUGAUCAAGUAGACCUUCUGAAUUAUCCAAGGUUUUCCCCGAUACUGUACUACACUAACGUAAUCGCUUUUCGAGAUUAUUGUAAUUAUAUAUUC
Long non-coding RNA from Bombus impatiens (common eastern bumble bee), 388 nucleotides. RefSeq lists it as uncharacterized. The transcript is spliced from 4 exons. Lineage: Eukaryota; Metazoa; Arthropoda; Insecta; Hymenoptera; Apidae. The record is from RefSeq and is a predicted model, not a curated record.